CACCCUCUGCCCCGCCCCGGCCCCGCACCCGCCAUGGAGAAGACUGAGCUGAUCCAGAAGGCCAAGCUGGCCCAGCAGGCCGAGCACCACGACGACAUGGCCACCUGCAUGAAGGCAGUGACCAAGCAGGGCGCCGAGCUGUCCAACGAGGAGCGGAAUCUGCUCUCCGUGGCCUACAAGAACGUAGUCCGGGGCCGUAGGUCCGCCUGGAGUGUCAUCUCGAGCAUCCAGCAGAAGACCGACACCUCCGACAAGAAGUUGCAGCUGAUAAAGGACUAUGGGGAGAAAGUGGAGUCCGAGCUGACAUCCAUCUGCACCAUGGUCCUGGAAUUGUUGGAUAAAUAUUUAAUAGCCAAUGCAACUAAUCCAGAGAGUAAGGUCUUUGAUCUGAAAAUGAAGGGUGAUUACUUCCGGUACCUUGCUGAAGUUGCAUGUGGUGAUGUUCGAAAACAAACCACAGAUAAUUCCCGAGGAGCUUACCAAGAGGCAUUUGAUAUAAGCAAGAAAGAGAUGCAACCCACACACCCAAUCCGCCUGGGGCUUGCUCUUAACUUUUCUGUAUUUCACUAUGAGAUUCUUGAUAACCCAGAGCUUGCCUGCAUGCUGGCUAAAACGGCUUUUGAUGAGGCCAUUGCUGAACUUGAUACACUGAAUGAAGACUCGUACAAAGACAGCACCCUUAUCAUGCAGUUGCUUAAAGACAACCUACCACUUUGGACAUCAGACAGUGCAGGAGAAGAAUGUGAUGCGGCAGAAGGGGCUGCAAACUAAAUCCAUACAGGGUGUCAUCCUUCUUUCCUUCGAGAAACCUUUUUACACAUCUCCAUUCCUCAUUCCACUUGGAUUUCGUAUAGCAAAGAAAUCCAUUCAUGUGUAUGGAAUCAACUGUUUAUAGUCUUUCCACACUGCAGCUUUGGGAAAACUUCAUUCCUUGAUUUGUGUUUGUCUUGGCCUUCCUGGUGUGCAGUACUGCUGUAGAAAAGUAUUAAUAGCUUCAUUUCAUAAAAACAUAAAUCAUUCCCAAACACUUAUGUAGAGGACUAAAAAUGUAUCUGGUAUUUAAGUAAUCUGAACCAGUUCUGCAAGUGACUGUGUUUUGUAUUACUGUGAAGAUAAGAAAAUGUAGUUAAUUACAAUUUAAACAGUGUUCCACAUAACUUCUUAAUUUCUACAUUCCCUCCCUUAGUCUUCAGGGAUUUCCUUUCAAUGAGUAACUUUUCCAUGUUCUUAAUGUAUUCCUUUUUAG
This is an RNA transcript of Rhinopithecus roxellana (golden snub-nosed monkey), 1246 nucleotides long. It is a transcript of the gene named 14-3-3 protein theta pseudogene, with no coding region annotated. The record is from RefSeq and is a predicted model, not a curated record. The transcript has a single exon. NCBI's taxonomy places the organism in Eukaryota, Metazoa, Chordata, Mammalia, Primates, Cercopithecidae.